This 451-nucleotide ribosomal RNA is filed under the name uncultured bacterium. RNAcentral describes it as "partial 16S ribosomal RNA". It matches the Rfam family "Bacterial small subunit ribosomal RNA", at positions 355 to 798 of the family's 1533-position model. The record is from RNAcentral.
UAGGGAAUCUUCGGCAAUGGACGAAAGUCUGACCGAGCAACGCCGCGUGAGUGAAGAAGGUUUUCGGAUCGUAAAACUCUGUUGUUAGAGAAGAACGUUGCAUAGAGUGGAAAAUUAUGCAAGUGACGGUAUCUAACCAGAAAGGGACGGCUAACUACGUGCCAGCAGCCGCGGUAAUACGUAGGUCCCGAGCGUUGUCCGGAUUUAUUGGGCGUAAAGCGAGCGCAGGUGGUUUAAUAAGUCUGAUGUAAAAGGCAGUGGCUCAACCAUUGUGUGCAUUGGAAACUGUUAGACUUGAGUGCAGUAGAGGAGAGUGGAAUUCCAUGUGUAGCGGUGAAAUGCGUAGAUAUAUGGAGGAACACCGGUGGCGAAAGCGGCUCUCUGGACUGUCACUGACACUGAGGCUCGAAAGCGUGGGUAGCAAACAGGAUUAGAUACCCUGGUAGUCCAC